GGUUAUGGCCACACCGCCCUGAACGUGCCCGAUCCCGCCUGACCUCGGAAGCUAAGCAGAGUCGGGCCCAGUCAGUACCUGGAUGGGAGAACUCAUUUUUUAAAUUGAAAGAAAAGAGAACCCAAGAACUGAUAGUUC
This 138-nucleotide ribosomal RNA is filed under the name Propithecus coquereli (Coquerel's sifaka). The record is from RNAcentral. Lineage: Eukaryota; Metazoa; Chordata; Mammalia; Primates; Indriidae.